CCUACGGGAGGCAGCAGUGGGGAAUAUUGGACAAUGGGCGCAAGCCUGAUCCAGCAAUACCGCGUGGGUGAUGAAGGUCUUCGGAUUGUAAAGCCCUUUUAGUAGAGAAGAUAAUGACGGUAUCUACAGAAAAAGCACCGGCAAACUUCGUGCCAGCAGCCGCGGUAAUACGAAGGGUGCUAGCGUUGUUCGGAAUCACUGGGCGUAAAGGGUACGUAGGCGGUUUGGUAAGUCGAUUGUGAAAGCCCCAGGCUCAACCUGGGAACUGCAAUCGAAACUACUUUACUUGAGUUUGGUAGGGGAUGGUGGAAUUCCUAGUGUAGGGGUGAAAUCCGUAGAGAUUAGGAAGAACACCAGUGGCGAAGGCGACCAUCUAUGCCAAUACUGACGCUGAGGUACGAAAGCGUGGGGAGCAAACAGGAUUAGAUACCCUGGUAGUCCACGCCCUAAACGAUGAAUGCUAGUUGUCGGGGCCUUAGGCUUCGGCGGCGAAGUUAACACGAUAAGCAUUCCGCCUGGGGAGUACGGUCGCAAGACUAAAACUCAAAGGAAUUGACG
This 558-nucleotide ribosomal RNA is filed under the name uncultured bacterium. Its description in RNAcentral is "bacterial SSU rRNA". It matches the Rfam family "Bacterial small subunit ribosomal RNA", at positions 338 to 915 of the family's 1533-position model. The record is from RNAcentral.